GCCGUUAUAGCUCAGAGGUAGAGCGCUUCCUUGGUAAGGAAGAGGUCUCGGGUUCAAUUCCCGAUAAUGGCU
This 72-nucleotide transfer RNA is filed under the name Flavobacteriales bacterium. Its description in RNAcentral is "tRNA-Thr". It matches the Rfam family "tRNA". From Rfam's summary of the family: Transfer RNA (tRNA) molecules are approximately 80 nucleotides in length. Their secondary structure includes four short double-helical elements and three loops (D, anti-codon, and T loops). The record is from RNAcentral. Lineage: Bacteria; Pseudomonadati; Bacteroidota; Flavobacteriia; Flavobacteriales.